This 467-nucleotide ribosomal RNA is filed under the name uncultured bacterium. RNAcentral describes it as "partial 16S ribosomal RNA". It matches the Rfam family "Bacterial small subunit ribosomal RNA", at positions 28 to 506 of the family's 1533-position model. The record is from RNAcentral.
GACGAACGCUGGCGGCGUGCUUAACACAUGCAAGUCGAACGGAAAGGCCCUGCUUUUGUGGGGUGCUCGAGUGGCGAACGGGUGAGUAACACGUGAGUAACCUGCCCUUGACUUUGGGAUAACUUCAGGAAACUGGGGCUAAUACCGGAUAGGAGCUCCUGCUGCAUGGUGGGGGUUGGAAAGUUUCGGCGGUUGGGGAUGGACUCGCGGCUUAUCAGCUUGUUGGUGGGGUAGUGGCUUACCAAGGCUUUGACGGGUAGCCGGCCUGAGAGGGUGACCGGCCACAUUGGGACUGAGGUGCGGCCCAGACUCCUCCGGGGGGCAGCAGUGGGGAAUUUGGCACAGGGGGCGGAGGCCUGAUGCAGCAACGCCGCGUGCGGGAUGACGGCCUUCGGGUUGUAAACCGCUUUCGCCUGUGACGACGCGUGAGUGACGUUAUUGGGUAAAGAGGCGCCGGCUAACUCCGU